UCAUCUGGCGUUUCACCAUGAAGAAGAAUGACAGGAGAAACAACGGAAUAGGCUAACAGACCAAAAUCUGAUAUCAUGCUGAAGCCUGGCUGGAACUAAACCGCUUGGCGGCGCUGUGCGGUGGUAGGGCAGUUUUGCAAAGCAGUGGGAACU
This is a long non-coding RNA of Daphnia pulicaria, 153 nucleotides long. RefSeq lists it as uncharacterized. The record is from RefSeq and is a predicted model, not a curated record. NCBI's taxonomy places the organism in Eukaryota, Metazoa, Arthropoda, Branchiopoda, Diplostraca, Daphniidae. The transcript is spliced from 3 exons.